CUUCUCUCUACUUACUCCCAUAUACCUUGUCCUUAUUUCUGUGUAUCCAAUUCUGUGUCCAUUAUUCCAUUUUGUCUUGUUUUGUCAGCUCUGCAGUCCAAAGAUGGAGAAGCUCUAUACAGUCAGCAAAAACAAGAAUGGGAGCUGACUGUGCUUUGGAUCAUGAACUCCUUAUUGCCAAAUACAGACUGAAAUUGAACAAAGUGGAGAAAACCUCUGGAACAUUCAGAGAGAACCAACUCCUACCAGAGAUCAUAAAAUAUUUGGAUACUGAACUUGUCAGUGCUCUUCCAAAUGUUCAUAUUCAAUUUGAGGAAAAGUUUAUUUGGAAGUCAUGUUACCAUGAAACAUGGGAUCAAAUCAGGACAGCAGCGAGGGAAAUCUUCAGGAUGAAAGCUAAGAAGCAGGACUAUCAUCAUCAGUGUAAUAAACUGGGGCAGGAGAAGAGAAGAAAUGAGUCAACUCUAGGAGGAAAAGAAGAUGACUUCAUAGAU
Molecule: long non-coding RNA, 494 nt
Organism: Bos taurus (domestic cattle)
Lineage: Eukaryota; Metazoa; Chordata; Mammalia; Artiodactyla; Bovidae
Source: Ensembl